ACUAUGUACAUGUACAAAAUAUUCAAAUACAAUAAUACUGUAUAUAUGACUGUAAAACCUGCCAAUCAAUAUUAGAGUGCCACCUUCAGGCUAAAUUACACAAGGACACCAAACGUCUGCCAACUGAUCUGUACAGUGUGUUCAGUUAUCUAAAACUUAAGACUUGUUAUGCCCCCCCCCCAAAAAAAUACAGUAUAUAUAAAUAUAUUAACAUGUCCCAACAUAUCGUAACAUUACAUUUUUAGACAAUGUUUAGAAGUAUUAUUUACAGUAUAUACUAAAGUACUCAGUUAAAAAUGGCCGGCCUUUAUAUUUGAUAUAAAAUCAUUUUAAUUAAUUAUCAAGUGUGUAUUGUAAUGCUUGAUAAGGUUUCCUUUCAUACCUUACUGAUCAUUUAUGAAUAUACAAGUGAAGUAACAGCAUAUGAUGUUUUAAUAACGUAGUUUGGGAGGAGCAUGUCUCACAGAGUGACUCGGUAGAGCGGAACCAAAAGUGAGAGAAAAGGUUCCGCCCGGACUGAAUUCUACAAACACCGUCACUUCCGGAUAUCCCCGGGAGUCCCCCAAAUCAAACGAAAUCGACCGCAGGUGCAUAGACGACGUGGCGAGGGCUGAUUGGGUGAGUCACACCAGGAAGAACAGUAUAAAAGGAAGAGAAGAAAUACAGGAAGUGUGCUGUUGUGUUGGGAAGAACGCUGGGUUGAAAUACGAGUGUGGGAAAAGGUACUGUGUGGAGCCCGUAAGAACCUGCUUGUGACGAAGAGGAGGAAGGGGAUCAGGACCCAAAGGAGGGUGAGAAAGGACACCAUUGGAGCGAGUUGGUACCUACUGAUUGUAUGUGUUUACAGAAGGUCUGGGCGAAAUACACCGGUAGCUAUAUACCUGUACUGCGGAUUUCCUGGAGGGAAAGGAACAAAAGGAAAGAGCGGGUAACGAGCGGCCCCACUGUAUGUGUUGUGACGGGUUGGCGAGCCGGAACACUGGAAACUGUACUGGCGUUGUGUUGUGAAGCUGCCACGACCUGGGCCGGACAUCGCUCGGCGUAGCGAUUUAGAUCCCCCCCCCCAGAGACGAUCUAGCCCGGCGAGGAGUACGGACCCUAUUAUUCACUGGAGUGUGUGCUGUGCAGCGUGAAGGAUCAGGCCUCUGUGUAAACCAACGGGAGCUGCCGAGCCGGUGGACACCAAACUCAUGAACUACGCGACACGACCAUAGCCAGAUGAAGCGAAACGGACUCAUCGAGUGAGGAGGAAGGGAAGAGGACGUGUUGGUCCGGGAAGGCGGACGUAUGCUCAAGGGCCCAUUCUAAAUUCCACCACCAACGGGACAUUGCCUCGGCAGCCACAGUUGGAAAAAAGCCCCCCCCUCUCCUUAUCCUGGCACGAAGCUGGAGGAGGAAAGAAGGGCGCCUUGGGGACAACAGCAACUCAGGAGGUGGACCGUAGACAAAGGAGCUCCGUCCGGUCCUUUCCCUGUCGUCCCUUGCCAGUGCUGGCUAGAUUUCCCUCUCCGCCAUCCUCUGACCUUCCAUCUCCCCCUGAAGAAAAGGAGCCAUAUUUUAGAUUUCCCUUCCCCCACUUCCCACUUGAUUUUAAAUAAUUUAAUAAAGAUCUCAUUA
Molecule: non-coding RNA, 1617 nt
Organism: Misgurnus anguillicaudatus (oriental weatherfish)
Lineage: Eukaryota; Metazoa; Chordata; Actinopteri; Cypriniformes; Cobitidae
Source: RefSeq, a predicted model, not a curated record